CCUACGGGUGGCAGCAGUAGGGAAUAUUGCUCAAUGGGGGAAACCCUGAAGCAGCAACGCCGCGUGGAGGAUGAAGGUUUUCGGAUUGUAAACUCCUUUUGUUAGAGAAGAUAAUGACGGUAUCUAACGAAUAAGCACCGGCUAACUCCGUGCCAGCAGCCGCGGUAAUACGGAGGGUGCAAGCGUUACUCGGAAUCACUGGGCGUAAAGAGCGCGUAGGCGGGAUAGCAAGUCAGAUGUGAAAUCCUAUGGCUUAACCAGAGAACUGCAUUUGAAACUGGUAUUCUAGAGUAUGGGAGAGGUAGGUGGAAUUCUUGGUGUAGGGGUAAAAUGCGUAGAGAUCAAGAGGAAUACUCAUUGCGAAGGCGACCUGCUAGAACAUAACUGACGCUGAUGCGCGAAAGCGUGGGGAGCAAACAGGAUUAGAUACCCCAGUAGUC
This 440-nucleotide ribosomal RNA is filed under the name uncultured bacterium. RNAcentral describes it as "partial 16S ribosomal RNA". It matches the Rfam family "Bacterial small subunit ribosomal RNA", at positions 338 to 795 of the family's 1533-position model. The record is from RNAcentral.